RNAcentral lists this long non-coding RNA (1194 nucleotides) under Actinidia chinensis (golden kiwifruit). RNAcentral describes it as "long non-coding RNA (ACHI_LNC001273)". Lineage: Eukaryota; Viridiplantae; Streptophyta; Magnoliopsida; Ericales; Actinidiaceae. The record is from RNAcentral.
UUUAAUUGAGCAUUAUCGUACAAGUUCAAGGGUCUAUCGUUUUUUAUUAAACAAUAAAGUUCAAGGGGGCUAAUCAUUCGAAACCCUAACUAUACCCUAACCCUCGGAGAGGGGCGAUGGCGUUUGGGGAGAGAGACGGCGGUGGUGGAGUGAUCGGAAAGAACGGGUACAGUGGAAGAGGAUGGGCGAUAUCUCCCAACGGAGGCAAUGCCGGAGUUCUUGAUGGCUGCAGGGUUCGAUCGAUUUCCAACCUCCGCCAUCAGAAGCGGCCGUAGAAAUUGAGCCUACUCAAACAGUCUCUGAAUUACAUUGUGCCCUAGAAUCGAUGUCAAGAGCCUCUGAAUCAAGAAACGCCAUGUGAGAUCCCAAAAUUUCAUGAUUAUUUACUCUCUCUCUAUUUGUUUUUGGUGGUGGUGGUUUGGGUUUGGAAGGGCGUGGGUGGUUUGUAUGGGGUUUUAAAGGCUCUGAUUUUGAUGAAAUUAAUGAUGGAUUUUGUUUAAUUUGUUUCACUAUUUGAUCAAUCUUAUUGCAAUCUGGGAACAUGUUACCGACCCUUUCUUCUCCGCAUACCUAUCUCUGCAAGACUGAAACUACUGAGGAAGAAAUAUCAAAGGUUCUCCCUUCGAGAGGAACCUUAAAACACCUCCAUAACCUCACAAGAGAAAAUAUUAGUCUGAAAGAUAUUUAGAAUUCUUGCAGAACAUUCUUAUAUACCAAUACAUAAAAGACCAAACAAACCUGUUCUCCACUACCAACUACCCAGUACUACAACUAAUACACGACUACUAUCAUUACAUAUCAGAUAAUAACAAAUAAAUAACCUUUAAAAUCACCAAUUAAACCCCUUACAUUAAUUCCCACAUCAGAACACGGGAUGGGAGGACUGUGAUUACAGUUUGGUUUUGGUGAAAUUAUUGCAUUAUUUUCGUUAUUUGAUAGAUUGGUGGUGGCGGUUGCAGGUAAAGGGAUGGCUGAUGGAGGUGGUCUUGGGAUUCCAUUAUCCAUUGUCUUUAAUUGACACAUAUUGAAAACCUGAAGGGCUAAUUCGCCGCAAUUGAAAGGAUACGGAUCAAAUUAACCCAAUGAGGAAAACUUAGGGACUAUUGGUACUUUCCCUUUAACUAGCCCAGAUAGCACAUUUACUAGAUAUUAGGGCAGGAUAUGUUAUAUGAACUCGGGUAUAUACGAGUGUCA